ACGGGAGGCAGCAGUGGGGAAUAUUGGGCAAUGGGCGCAAGCCUGACCCAGCAAUGCCGCGUGAAGGAUGAAGGUCUUCGGAUUGUAAACUUCUUUGAUUGGGGAAGAAUAAAUGACCUACCCAAAGAACAAGCUCCGGCUAACUACGUGCCAGCAGCCGCGGUAAUACGUAGGGAGCAAGCGUUAUCCGGAUUUACUGGGUGUAAAGGGCGUGUAGGCGGCUCUGCAAGUCAGAAGUGAAAUCCCCGAGCUUAACUUGGGUGCUGCUUCUGAAACUGUAGAACUUGAGUACUGGAGGGGAAAGCGGAAUUCCUAGUGUAGCGGUAAAAUGCGCAGAUAUUAGGAGGAACACCGGUGGCGAAGGCGGCUUUCUGGACAGUUACUGACGCUGAGGCGCGAAAGCGUGGGGAGCAAACAGGAUUAGAUACCCUGGUA
RNAcentral lists this ribosomal RNA (435 nucleotides) under uncultured Saccharofermentans sp. RNAcentral describes it as "bacterial SSU rRNA". It matches the Rfam family "Bacterial small subunit ribosomal RNA", at positions 341 to 792 of the family's 1533-position model. The record is from RNAcentral. Lineage: Bacteria; Bacillati; Bacillota; Clostridia; Eubacteriales; Oscillospiraceae.